UACAGAGGGGGCAAGCGUUGUUCGGAAUUACUGGGCGUAAAGGGCGCGUAGGCGGCCGCCUAAGUCAGACGUGAAAUCCCUCGGCUUAACCGGGGAACUGCGUCUGAUACUGGAUGGCUUGAGUUCGGGAGAGGGAUGCGGAAUUCCAGGUGUAGCGGUGAAAUGCGUAGAUAUCUGGAGGAACACCGGUGGCGAAGGCGGCAUCCUGGACCGACACUGACACUGAGGAGCGAAAGCCAGGGGAGCAAACGGG
RNAcentral lists this ribosomal RNA (253 nucleotides) under uncultured bacterium. RNAcentral's name for it is "partial 16S ribosomal RNA". It matches the Rfam family "Bacterial small subunit ribosomal RNA", at positions 524 to 776 of the family's 1533-position model. The record is from RNAcentral.